UACGGAGGGUGCAAGCGUUAAUCGGAAUUACUGGGCGUAAAGCGCACGCAGGCGGUUUGUUAAGUCAGAUGUGAAAUCCCCGGGCUCAACCUGGGAACUGCAUUUGAGACUGGGAAGCUUGAGUCCCGUAGGGGGGGGUAGAAUUCCAGGUGUAGCGGUGAAAUGCGUAGAGAUCUGGAGGAAUACCGAAGGCGAAGGCGGCCCCCUGGACGAAGACUGACGCUCAGGUGCGAAAGCGUGGGGAGCAAAAAGG
RNAcentral lists this ribosomal RNA (253 nucleotides) under uncultured bacterium. Its description in RNAcentral is "partial 16S ribosomal RNA". It matches the Rfam family "Bacterial small subunit ribosomal RNA", at positions 524 to 776 of the family's 1533-position model. The record is from RNAcentral.